GCUGUGUGUGCGUCUCUUAUAAAUUCAGCUCUGGGUCUGAUCAGCUGUCAGAAAGCUGCUCAACACAUCACUGCUGCUCUCAGAGUCAAGUGUGAAUUAUCAAAGAUCUGGUCGGGACCUCAGUCAGUCACCAUGAGUCCUAAACACGUCGUCUUUAAGAAGGUCUCCAAAGACAAGUUGGUGGCGGUCUACAUGGCCAAGAGAGACUUUGUGGAUCACUGUGACUUUGUUGAUCCAGUUGAUGGAGUUAUUGUGAUCGACCAGGGGCAGCUCAAAGGAAAGAAAGUCUAUGUGAUGCUGUCCUGUACCUUCCGGUAUGGCCGUCAGGACAUGGACGUGAUGGGUGUAGCCUUUAGGAGGGACCUGUUCGUGGUGACCCGGCAGGUUUACCCCGAGCUGCAGGACAAAGAGAAGCUGACUCACACCAAGGUCCAGCAGAAACUGCUCCACAAGCUGGGAGACAACGCUUUCCCCUUCUUCUUUGAGUUUCCAGACAACCUGCCGUGUUCUAUUGCUCUACAGCCUGGACCCUCUGAUGUAGGAAAGAAAUGUGCAGUGGAGUUUGAGGUUAAAGCUUUCUGUUGUGAAAAUCAGGACGAGAAGAUCAACAAACAGAGUUCAGUUCGUCUUACCAUUCGUAAGAUCCAGUUCAGUCCAGAGAACAGUAAACUGGUUCCAGUAGCAGAAACUACCUUUGAGUUCCUGAUGUCUGAAAAGCCUCUGCACCUCAAACUGAGUCUGCCCAAAGAGACGUUCUACCACGGAGAACCCAUCCCAGUCACUGUAGAAAUCACCAACUCGUCCAGCAGGAACAUCAAAGACAUCAGUGUGUCAGUUGAACAGGUGACCAACAUUGUUCUUUACUCCAACGACAAGUACGUCAAAUCAGUGGCCAAAGAGGAGACCAGUGACUCCGUCCCCUCUGGAACCAGUCUGAAGAAGGACUACACUCUGUAUCCUCUGCUGGCUCACAACAAGGACAGGAGAGGACUCGCUCUGGACGGACGACUCAAACACGAAGACACUAAUCUGGCUUCAUCUAGCAUAGUGAAGCAGGAGGUGCUGAAGGAGGUCCAGGGGAUGCUCGUCUCCUAUAAGGUCAUAGUGAGGAUGAUCGCCUCUGGCACCAUCGGAUCCAGUGAAGUGUCAUUGGAGCUUCCUUUCAAGCUGAUGCAUUCUAACCCUGAACCAGGUACAGGUCUUCCUCCUCUUCCUCUGGGUUUCUUUACUUCCCUGCUGACAAAUCAGAAGCUGUGUGUGUGUGUGUGUGUGUGUAAGCAGCUUGCUGUAUAUCGCUGACUGCAGUCAAUCAGCUCAACAACAACUUGAGUCACAUCCUGAAGAUUAACAGAUUAAUUACUGCUGAUCAAUACACAUUCACACACACACACACACACACACACACACACACACACACACACACACACGCGUCUGUGUGGACCCUCAGUGAUCCAUAAUCCUCCUCCAGACCUGAACCUGAAGCGCUUUAACCCUCCUGUAGAUGUGUAGGAAUAUUAUUGUUUUUUAUUAUAACUUCCAUUCAUAUGUUCAGUCUGAUAUUGAUUGAGUGAGAACAGGUUGUAUUGAUAUUAGUGCUGUCAAACGAUUAAAAUAUUUAAUCGCGAUUAAUCGCAUUAAUGUCAUAGUUAACUUGCAAUUAAUCGCACAUUUUUAUCUAUUCUAAAUGUCCCUUGAUUUCUUUUUGUCCCAUUAUUUUUUCUCAUUUCAAUGCUCUUAUCAACAUGGAAAAGUGGAUCGGCUUGCGUUGUGCAAAUGUUUUUAUUGAAAACAACAUUGGCAUAUACUGUAGUGUUCAAUAUCACAUUAACAGUCUCACUUGGAGCAAAUAAUCUCUCACACAAUGUAACACUGUCCAUCAAUAAAAGGGUGAAAAAAUACUUUGUCACACAAACAGCCCCUUCAACAGCCCUUUCUAAGGGAUCAAAACAGGGCGAUACAAAAUAAAAUUACAAAGUGCACAUGUAAGGUAAACUAGGACUCAGCCUAUAGUGCAGUUAAACCAUGGCUUAAUACUUUUCUCAAGUUUGCUUUGAACAUAGCAGUCAGGCUACUGCUCUUUAUUCACCAGAGGCUCAACCCAGCCUCUUAUUUCAGAAAGAAUGAACAGUAACGGUUACCAAUAAAAGGAAAGCCUACUACUUCUUUGCUUUGAGCCAGUUACUCAAACAGACAAGCCUGUUGACAUUUUCAGACAACAAGGAAUUCAUCCAUUUCGGCGUCUCGCGCUCGCCAUCCACUCAAAACGUAACGUCUACUACUCUUAAACAAGUGUGUGUGGGGUGCCUGUUGUUUUGUUUCCGGUCUAGCUAGAUCCGGUGUGGUGUUGUAGUUUUUCUAACGUUACUAGUUGUUGCAACAGCAUGUGAAAAAACUAUAAAGUGAGCUAGGCGUUAAUCUUGCGAUAAAAAAAUUGACGCCGUUAAAAUGGGUUUGCGUUAACGCUGUUAAUAACGCAUUAAACUGACAGCACUAAUUGAUAUGUGAUCUGAUGUUAUAUAAAUACAUAUAUAUAUAUAUAUAUAUUUGUUUGUAUAUAUUUGUAUAUUUAUGUUUAUAUUUUCUUGUGUCUGAACUCCACUGCACUGCAGCCAAAGAGGGCGAAUCAGACGACAUGGUGUUUGAGGAGUUUAAACGAGCCUACCUGAAGGGUGUGGUCUACGGAAGCGACGACGAGUCCCCCACAGAGGCGUAAAGACUUCAAAGAUGGCCGCCCUGCAGUGGGACUGUAGAUGAUUCGUGCAGCGCCCCCCGAGGACAGAAUGAGAAGUGCAGCCUGCGGGUGGCGCUCAUAGAGAUUAUGUCCCGAACUGAUCAUUUCUAGUUAAUGUGAUCAAUCAAUGUGACUGUAGAUAACGAGCCUGGAACGUAUUUAAAGGUAAACGAUUAAUUAAUGUAACUUUAUUAAUUACAAUGUCAUAAAUGUAAAAGAAAGACAAUCAGAGAUAUCUGUGACUGUCACUCAUAUAAAAACUGCCCUGAAUAAAAGCUGCUUGUGUCA
RNA transcript from Dicentrarchus labrax (European seabass), 3019 nucleotides. It is a transcript of the gene named S-arrestin-like, with no coding region annotated. The record is from RefSeq and is a predicted model, not a curated record. Lineage: Eukaryota; Metazoa; Chordata; Actinopteri; Moronidae. The transcript is spliced from 15 exons.